RNAcentral lists this long non-coding RNA (1172 nucleotides) under Solanum tuberosum (potato). RNAcentral describes it as "long non-coding RNA (STUB_LNC006824)". Lineage: Eukaryota; Viridiplantae; Streptophyta; Magnoliopsida; Solanales; Solanaceae. The record is from RNAcentral.
UUGACUUGUGUGCAAUUUGACUAUUCUAUCGAGUACCUGCUACCUCCCAGCACAGUAACAUCAUGGAUGAUUAUUAAACUGGCAAUGAACCUGUGUUAGCUUUAUUACUAAUUAUCUUCUGGUGUUAAUAGUUCAUUACAGAUACACUCAAAUCUCCUAAAAUUAUGCAUGAAUUUCAGCUAACAAAAAAGCAACAAACUCACCUUUUUGUUCAAACUUGUGAUUAAAAUUCCAAACAAAACAUAUUGGACCCCAUACAGUGGGAUGAUUACAUUUAUAAAGUCACCAGUGUAUUAAUAAGCUUAAAAAUCGGAUCCAACUUAAGUGACAAUUUAUUUUAGCAUAGUAAACAAUUAAAAGUGGACGAAUCAAAUAUUAUAUAGUAACAGGAAAAAAAGGAGUUGUUUUGGCAAUUUUACUUAUACCUACCAAAAGCAAAGUCAUCACUACUAUUUUACAACUCUGCUCAGUGCUCACUCACUUCCCACUGCUAACACGUUCAUUUCAAAUCUACAACAAUGGCCACAUCCAUCAAAAUCACCACAACCAUUGUCACCACAGUUGUCAUUCUCUCACUAUUCUCCUCCCUGAUUCCAUCCACCAAAGCACAAGACUCGCCACCGGCACCAGCAGCUCCGGCACCGAGCCCCGGAGUUGAUUGCCUUAGAGUCUUAGUAAACAUGUCCGAUUGCUUAACAUUUGUAGAAAGAGGAAGCAAUUCGACUACUCCGGGUAAAGGAUGCUGCCCGGAAAUUGCUGGAUUGUUAGAUAGUAACCCUAUUUGCUUGUGCCAAAUGCUUGGCCGAGCUCACUCCGGUGCUAAAAUUGGGUUCAACAUUGAUGUCGAUAAGGCACUUAAACUUCCUUCUGCUUGUAGUUUGGAGUUUCCACCAGCUAGCACUUGCUCAGGUACCGGUUUACUCUCUGUUUCUUACAUUCAAUUUGGGGAACUGUGGAUUUGUGAAGGGAAAAUUGGGAGAUCUACUUUUUAGCUUGGAUUUGCCCUUAACUAGCACGAUCCCGUAAUUUAGGUCGUGACAAUUAGUAUUAGAGUUCAGAUUACCGGUUUCGCAAGCACAAGAGCAAAUAUAAUCCUGUUGUAGAAUGGUAGGGAUAGGGGCUAAGAAGGUCGGGAAUAAACACAAAGAAUAUCACUUGAUACUUGUUUUCUC